CAAUAAAUAAAUUAAUAAAUAAAUAAAUAAGGCAAAAAAAAGGUCAUGGAUUUAACAUUGUGAUCCAAAGCUUGAUUUCAAGAUUGAAACCUCAACAUUCAUCCAUAUAGUAAAUUUCCUUGCAUAUGCUUCAAGUAAUCUAAACAUGCUCAAAUCCUCAUCAAUUGCUAUUAAAAAAUCUGCAUUACAAAGUUUAAAGGUUACCUGGGUAGCAAAAAAUAAAUAUAGCAGUGAAAAAUGAGAGCUCAGCAACAGAAAGCGACAGAGAACAAUAACAAAAUCAGCAGAAAUCCAGCAGCAAACCGUGUUUAAAUAGCCCGAAAACUUUAGAGAAGAAACCCAAAACUAACUCUAAAGAAGACUUCUACUUUUCUAAAGUUUGCACUCUAAAAUUCACUCACAAAGCGCAAAAAUUUUCAGCUUACUAAAGUAUUCAGCUGCUGAUUUUUUAUUCAACCAUAUGUGUGUGUUCAAGCAACUCUCAAGAUCUCCCUCAGUGUAAGAUAGAGUGUGUCCCCUUUAUAGGAGAAGAGCAGCCCUUUAAAUAGGCAAAUAAAUAAGAUUUUUUGGACAGAUUUUGGUUCACCAAAAAGUCUGUCCAAAAGACUGACUUUGUGUGCUAAACACUGUUCAAAAGCUGUCAAAAAGUAUUGUAUUUGUCACCACACAAUGACUUUUGAGUUUUGUACUCCAAAGUCUUUGCACAGUAAAAACAACCAAACUUGUACUAUUUCUUCUUUAAUUUCAGCUUUUAUCAACACAAAAUUCAAAUACUCACAUCCAAUAAAAACAAAUUCACUAAGCACUUGAAACUUUUAUCAUAAACUAUCAUGAGCGAAUAGCUAUUUCAAAACUAAUAAAUAACUAAUUAUCAGUGAUUAAUAACUAAGCUAACAUAGAUUAAACAUAACUAAUAAUAAAAAUAAUAAUAAUAAUAAAUUAAUAAAUUAAUAAAUAAAAUCAUAAAUUAUGCUAGACAUAAACUAAAUACAAUACAAUUAGAAAAAAUAGACAAAGGAAAUGAGAAUAAGGGUAUACCAAACGAGGGCAUUCAGGGUGGUCGCCGGAAUUUGGCCGGAUUUUUAGUUGCCUGAUUUUCAGGAUGGAAUUGACAUCAAUAGAUAGGUCUUGAUAAGCUCUAUCCGUUGAUGCAGGUAUUGUAGAGGUGGUAGUGGCCGGAACUUCAAGAUUUUGGGCCAAAAAGUAGAGGCUAAGGUUUCUUUGAUCUAAAAUUCAAAAAGUAUGAGGGGCUUUUGAAGGAUUUGGUUUGGAGAUAUGAAAAGAGGAGGUUGUGGAGAUUACAUGGUGUGAAUUUGGCGGUGUUUGGAGGUUGGCCGGCACCGGUGGGCGAUUUUCGGUGGGUGGCAGCGGUGGGGUGGGGGAGGGGGGGCGGAUAUGGGAGAGAGAAGAGAGAGAGAGA
RNAcentral lists this long non-coding RNA (1420 nucleotides) under Nicotiana tabacum (common tobacco). Its description in RNAcentral is "long non-coding RNA (NTAB_LNC013482)". Lineage: Eukaryota; Viridiplantae; Streptophyta; Magnoliopsida; Solanales; Solanaceae. The record is from RNAcentral.